Molecule: transfer RNA, 84 nt
Filed under: Ignatius tetrasporus
Lineage: Eukaryota; Viridiplantae; Chlorophyta; Ulvophyceae; Ignatiales; Ignatiaceae
Also listed under: 1 other name
Description: tRNA-Ile
Rfam family: tRNA
About the family: Transfer RNA (tRNA) molecules are approximately 80 nucleotides in length. Their secondary structure includes four short double-helical elements and three loops (D, anti-codon, and T loops). Further hydrogen bonds mediate the characteristic L-shaped molecular structure. tRNAs have two regions of fundamental functional importance: the anti-codon, which is responsible for specific mRNA codon recognition, and the 3' end, to which the tRNAs corresponding amino acid is attached (by aminoacyl-tRNA synthetases). tRNAs cope with the degeneracy of the genetic code in two manners: having more than one tRNA (with a specific anti-codon) for a particular amino acid; and 'wobble' base-pairing, i.e. permitting non-standard base-pairing at the 3rd anti-codon position.
Source: RNAcentral
GCAUCCAUGGCAGAGUGGUCGAUUGCACCGCACUCAUAAUGCGACUCCUUCGGGACAACAUUGGUUCGAAUCCAAUUGGAUGCA